RNAcentral lists this long non-coding RNA (892 nucleotides) under Citrus x clementina. Its description in RNAcentral is "Citrus clementina (C. clementina) long non-coding RNA (CCLE_LNC003652)". Lineage: Eukaryota; Viridiplantae; Streptophyta; Magnoliopsida; Sapindales; Rutaceae. The record is from RNAcentral.
AUUAAUACAUGUGUGGCAGAAAAAUUAUGAAGAGUUGAGCACAUAUUACUUCGCACUAUAUCCCAAUUCUUUAAUAAUAGACUUUUAAAAAUAAAUACGUUUCAAUUGUUUGGCUGGCAUGUGGUAAACAAAAGUUUAAAUAAUUCAAGUUUCUAUUAAUUUAAAUUUUAUUUAAAAAUACAUCAUUUCAUUAAUAUAUAAAUGUAGUGAUUAUCGAGUGUUACUUUUAAAGUGCUUGCAUUGGUCUUACGGGAAAUUCUAGAAUACUUUUGAUAUAUUAUAACUAAUCGAUAUAUACAUGACAUGUGUAGUUGAGUUUAAUAUAACCACCACUUAAUGAUGAUUUUUUAAAAUAAAUGCACACAUGUCAUAACAUCAUUUACUGAUUGUAUAGUCGACAUGGUACCUCUGAUAUAUUCUAAAGUUUCCCUGAUCUCACAUAUAAGGUAAGUAAACUAUAAAUAUGUGUAAUUACAUAACAAUAGAGCCUAUUUACUAUUAGAUUACAAGUCCAAUAGGUAUUGAACUAAAUGUUGAUAUCAUUUUUAUAUUGAGUUUUUAGAAAAUCAUGAUUGAUAAUUAUAUAGGUAAUUAAAUAUUAACUGUUUAUUAUUAUAUAUACACACACGGUUUAAGAUUAAUAAGAAUCAUUACGGUAAGAUCUAAGUUAUUAAAAAUUAAAACAACUAACAUCAAUAUUGAAUAUGAAUUUAUUAGUUGAAGAAUUUGGAAUAUGAAUGAUUGACGAUAUUUACUUGUUAAAAUAAAAAAGGAGAAUGAAAAUGAAAUAUGUGGGUCUCACCUCUUUUGGGAUUAAGAAAUGGGAACUUGAUUAUUGGAGGAUUGAUAAUUAAGUUCUCAUUCUUUGAACUCAUCAUUUUAUCUCACUUAA